RNAcentral lists this long non-coding RNA (3501 nucleotides) under Anas zonorhyncha (Eastern spot-billed duck). Its description in RNAcentral is "lncRNA (ENSAZOG00000013269.1)". Lineage: Eukaryota; Metazoa; Chordata; Aves; Anseriformes; Anatidae. The record is from RNAcentral.
AUGAAUAUAGCAGGUGGAGGACAUCACAUUCAUCAUCAACCCCACCUGUUCUGCUUCUCCCUUAAAUCAACACCCCUCCACCCACACACACUUCCCACACACCCCAUAUUACAAAUAGGAGUGAUACGGUUAGCAAGGUGUAGUUGUUCUGUGCUUGGAGAUGAUGGCCAGUUCCUGCUGACCAGGUUUUUUGAAAUCAGCCACUGGGCAUUAGCAAAAAGGGUAUUUUGGACUUCGUGGGGACUUUGUGGUCAACAGAGUCUUCUGCCUUCAUCAAUGCCCUUUCCUGCUCCUGAGCACUGCUGUCCUCUGGAGCAGAGAUGAUGGUCCAGAGGACCCGGACCAUAACAAGACAGGAACCUUCAAAGGAUCUGUCCUAAUGGCAAAGCACAAGAAGAAUUGAGGAAGCAUUAGUGUUUAGAAACAAAUGCUUUAAUCACAGCUUGUGUAACAUGGUUUUUGUUAAGUGGAAUGUUAAAGCAGCCAGACUGGCUGCAGGACAGGGGAGCUGCUAUGCAGGACCCAGAUUCCUCAAGCUGACUACUACUCUGGGGGUUGAUGUAAUGCUCCUUUGAAGAACUCUGAAGUUUUGCUGGCCUUGAGAAUAGUUCUUUAGUUUCUAUAUUUUUUGCUAGUUCUUCUAUCAGAUGUUGGAAAUAAUUUGUUAUUCAUGACAAGUUUGGUGUUCUUUGUUUUGAGGAUUUUCUGUUUUUUCAUUAGUUAAAACAGUUUAGAUCAUUAGAUCAAAGUCUGAAUGGAGGUAGAAACAUUAUUUGGAGGCCAGAUAUUUACUCGAUCAUUACUGCUUUUGUGUUAGUCUAACAGUUGUUAAUAUACUUAUCUUAAUGUUUGUUUGUUUGUUUUUAUCUGGCUAAAUAACUGGGUAUUUCAAAAGUUUUCAACAGAAGUACUUAUUCUUUCUUGGACUAUUUUCUAAUCGAAAAUGUUAUAGUCUUGGGAAGUAACUGUGCCUAUGUACAUAUGUAAUUAUGUUAAAAUACUGCAUUAGAGCAAGAUUUUUGCGUGCUAUGCCAACCCCGUCGCUUUACUUUUCUACUAAAUAAGGCUAAACGAGCUCUCCAUGAUAGCCUCAAAUUUAUCAUUAAUGCUGUCAUUUCUAAGGCCACUGCUCAUUUCUAUUGUAUGUGCUGUGCUGUUCUGUGUUGCAUGUCAGUGUUUGAUUUACUUUAAGCUAAUCACUAAAUUAGUAAUUGUAGUUAUGAGUAACCAAAUACGUGAACUAUUGUCAUUAACUGAGCUGCAGCCCUUUUCGUUAUAAAACUUUUCCUACCUCCCUUUACCAGAAUCAGCAUUCAGUUUGUAUAUGGGGCAAAGAAGAAAUCAAAGCUUCCCUUGCACUCUGGGUCCGUUUCCUCUAGUCUGUUUAUCAGGUUGGUAACAACUUAAAGAAUGUCAAAUGUAAUGUAAAACAAAUAGUCUUAGCCUCAGGAAUACAAGGACAGAAAUGGAUCAUUUUACAGAUUACUCCUCUCUAAUUUGCAAAAACCAUAAUGCUCACAGUCUAAUGAAAGUAAAGCUUUAAGUGGUUGUGAAAUGAUCCAUGAACUCCAGGUACUUUCCUUUAAGCCAGCUGACACCUGUAAAUUUUAGUCCUUGUGCAGUGUAAUCCAUCACUAUAUAUAAUCCUAAACCUGACAGUUUUUGCCUCCAUGGCAGAUGUGCUCCUUUCUCUACUGUGAGCAUUGCGUAUUGAUGCCAAGUGCAAGCCAGUGCAAACAAGUUGCAUACAAGUUUUGUAGUGUCUUGCUUCAAUCAUAUUUGUUCUUGGGUUGCUAUGUGGAGAACAGUACAGCUGUGAUGUUAUCACUGUAUUGAAGCAAUAGGGUUAUGCAUGAUGAGGGCUUGUGAAGCUAUUUGCUAUUGGUCUGGUUGUGCCUUAUUUUUGCCUCUUGGGCAUCUAAGAUAAAUGUCUGCUAUUGAAUUUGCAAUGUUUUUCUCUAGUAUGCAGAAUAUUACUUGUUUUCUGAUAGUACAUAGAUACUGAGUCACAGACCAAGGUGGGAUGUUAGACUUGCAGAUCUGCAAGAUAGAAAAGGGCUUACUGUCCUUGUUUUAUAGAAGUAAGAUCAAAGUAUGCUCACCUAAAUCCUCUUCUCAAAAAUAAACCAGGCCUGUAGGUCCCUAAUUUUCAACAGUAUUGGUGUUCCUGGUGAAAAUUCUGCCCUAUAGAUGACUUGGGCAUCCUUUCACACUUGCUGUUUACAAAUGCCUGAAUCCCCAAAGCACAACACUUCUGCAGAAACAAAUAUUGCCUGAGGCAGGGGAUCUGAGUCACCCUGUAGACCCUCAGGGUGGUACUGAGCAGAUUCCCCCACUUUCACUGCUAGUAGAGCCAAGUAGCACAUAGCCAUUUAGCUGUGCUGUGAGUACAUCUCUUCAGGAAUGCUUGAAAUACCUUUACCUUCAGUGGCAGUUUUCUGCAAUGGGAGCAGAAUAGCUUGGAAUGAAGCUGCUUAUGGGCCAUAGGUGUUACAUCAUGUUUUAAAUAAUAGAGCAGCAUCAAAAAUUGGGGUACUCCCAAAAGACUGCAGGGAUCUGAGUACUGGGUGUCUGGGUAACAUGCACUGUUUUUUCAUAGGUGGGUUUUAGAUAUAUAACUCUAGAAGAGGACUUACAGGGUAGGAUUCCAGACUGGGAGAGAUGCCUGCUUGAGUAAUCACCUUGAACCACUGAAUUUCCUUUUCAGCCCACUGUAGCCUUGUCUGUGUCUAUGAAAACUGAUUGUUCAACCACUGAAACAUUAUCCUGUAAGGAUUUUGAAUGUUACUGAAAUUAAACGCCUUCUGUGUGCUAUGUCAAACCUAUGCUGUAUGAUCAUUCAAGUUGCUUUUUAUGAAUGUGGUAUCCAGGCUGGCAAAAAAAAAUCAGGUGGCUUGAUGGUGUGUAGAUUUACUCACAAAAUGUGACGAAGUUCAUUAUUUGGUGAACAUGAGUUCACUCAGAAGGGAGAGAAUUUGAAGUGACAGGUGAAGAUGCUUUUAUAUAUUCUUACAGUUAGUGUUUAUAACUUGUUUUCUUUUGCUAUGACAGCCUUUCUUCCCCUAAAUAAGGGUUUGUUAGUUUGUUUAAAAAGCCAAUGGCUAUGCUAGCCACUUUUAUAUAACCAGCAAGAAAUUACAGCAGGGACCUCAAAGUAGUGAGUGACUUCUGGAGCUAAUAAGAAUAGAGUAGGGUGAAAUGAACUUCUGGAGGUCAUCUAGGCCAGCCUACUCCAUAAAGAAGAAGUAACAUUAAAGUUGGAUUUUAUGUUUAAAUUAUAUACAAUUGAUUUAUUAUUUUGAAUGUUUACUAAUACAUUUGUCAUACAUUUUAUGGCAUACAUGUGUGUUAAUUUUAUAUAGUAUAUAAAUUACACUAAGUUAUAUGUUUAUGACUCUACAAGUAUGCUGUGCUUCUGCCCAUUUUAAAUCCAUUUCCCAGUCCUCUUUUCCUGGGGCUUCCUCGUGAUCUUUCAGAGCACAAUCUCUGCACAGCAACCAG